This 253-nucleotide ribosomal RNA is filed under the name uncultured bacterium. RNAcentral describes it as "partial 16S ribosomal RNA". It matches the Rfam family "Bacterial small subunit ribosomal RNA", at positions 524 to 776 of the family's 1533-position model. The record is from RNAcentral.
UACGGAGGAUGCAAGCGUUAUCCGGAAUGAUUGGGCGUAAAGCGUCCGCAGGUGGCUAUGUAAGUCUGCUGUUAAAGCGUCUAGCUCAACUAGAUAAAAGCAGUGGAAACUACAAGGCUAGAGUGUGGUCGGGGCAGAGGGAAUUCCUGGUGUAGCGGUGAAAUGCGUAGAGAUCAGGAAGAACACCGGUGGCGAAGGCGCUCUACUGGGCCAAGACUGACACUCAGGGACGAAAGCUAGGGGAGCGAAUGGG